This 253-nucleotide ribosomal RNA is filed under the name uncultured bacterium. RNAcentral describes it as "partial 16S ribosomal RNA". It matches the Rfam family "Bacterial small subunit ribosomal RNA", at positions 524 to 776 of the family's 1533-position model. The record is from RNAcentral.
GACAGAGGUGGCAAGCGUUGUUCGGAUUUAUUGGGUGUAAAGGGCAGGUAGGCGGCCGGGCAAGUCUGAUGUGAAAUCCCAUGGCUCAACCGUGGAACUGCAUUGGAAACUGCCUGGCUUGAGUACCGGAGAGGUGAAGGGAAUUCUCGGUGUAAGGGUGAAAUCUGUAGAUAUCGAGAGGAACACCAGUGGCGAAGGCGCUUCACUGGCCGGUAACUGACGCUGAACUGCGAAAGCAAGGGGAGCAAACAGG